RNAcentral lists this ribosomal RNA (253 nucleotides) under uncultured prokaryote. Its description in RNAcentral is "partial 16S ribosomal RNA". It matches the Rfam family "Bacterial small subunit ribosomal RNA", at positions 524 to 776 of the family's 1533-position model. The record is from RNAcentral.
UACGGAGGAUCCAAGCGUUAUCCGGAAUCAUUGGGUUUAAAGGGUCCGUAGGCGGCCUAGUAAGUCAGUGGUGAAAUCUCCCCGCUCAACGGGGAAACGGCCAUUGAUACUGCUAGGCUUGAAUUAUUAGGAAGUAACUAGAAUAUGUAGUGUAGCGGUGAAAUGCUUAGAUAUUACAUGGAAUACCAAUUGCGAAGGCAGGUUACUACUAAUUGAUUGACGCUGAUGGACGAAAGCGUGGGGAGCGAACAGG